GGGUGCAAACAUAGACUCUGCCCCAACUAGCUCGGAGGCUAAGAAAUGACUAUUCUAUAAAAUGGCAUCUGGCCAGUUAUGAGAUUUUCAGUCUUAGACACACCAAACAGGUCUAAAAGGAAAUUUCCAUACUGCUGGAACAGUUUCUUAGUUUGCUGACAUCUACCAACUUAGCAUCUCACUCUCCUCAUCUCCUCCUGCAUCAACAGUGGAAAACCAAAUCCUCUCCAUGUCCAACAAGAUGCAAUACCAACACACUACAGAGAGAGAGAGAGAGAGCAUGCAAUAUGUUCAUAUUCUCAUCAACCACAAUGAGGAAGGACCAAGAUCAGCUAAUUCCAGAAACCAGCUUUUCAUG
This 358-nucleotide long non-coding RNA is filed under the name Coffea arabica (coffee). RNAcentral describes it as "long non-coding RNA (CARA_LNC001245)". Lineage: Eukaryota; Viridiplantae; Streptophyta; Magnoliopsida; Gentianales; Rubiaceae. The record is from RNAcentral.